UGGCCUCUAUAGAAAAAUCCAUGCGAAGACUGGUGCAGAUCAGGGGCUCAGAGAUGCUAGUCUGCGAACAACUUCGAUAGCUGACCUCUUCUACAAGUACCUUGGACACUCUAAAGUGAUAGGAGAUCUAGAGGAGGAAUAAAGAAGGAGGAGAAGAGACUCUAGAAAUAAAAAAAUCUACAAGAAAAUUGAUCAUGGGACAUCC
RNAcentral lists this long non-coding RNA (205 nucleotides) under Elaeis guineensis (African oil palm). RNAcentral's name for it is "long non-coding RNA (EGUI_LNC061313)". Lineage: Eukaryota; Viridiplantae; Streptophyta; Magnoliopsida; Arecales; Arecaceae. The record is from RNAcentral.